AAAAACCAAAUUGAAUAGCUCAAAUUUUCUAAUGCUUCAAUCAAUACAUAUAUGUAUGCAUUACUUUGAUAAACAAAACCAUACUAGAUAUACAUAAUUUUUACUCAAAUAACAAGCAAAUAUAAGAAUGUAAUUGAAUACCCAUUAUUGUAAUUAAGAAAAAAAAGAAAAAGAAAUUAAUUACCUGGACGACCUGGACAAAGGUCUUGAGGAUGGUGACAGCAGCUCUCUCGGUGUAAUGGCCUUUGUCGACGAUGCGAUCGAAGAGUUCUCCUCCCUGACAGAGCUUCAUCAAAAGAUAAACAGCAUCUCUAUCCUCGUAGACCUCCUUGUACUUGACAAUGUUAGGGUUAGAAGGCAAAUGGUUCAAGAGGGGUUCUUUCAAGAUUGUUAGCUGACGAGAGAUUCAGCUCUUUGAUCUCUCCAAUCACUGCUGCUGCUGCUGUGUCUCCGAGGAAGAGGAAUCGUUACUCUUCUCUGGUAAUGGUUUGGGGCGUUUGGUUUCUGAUUCACAGGUACAUAUAUAUAUAUAUAUAUACAUAUCCAUCCAAAAUUUCAACCCCUUAACAAAACUUAAGAUGAUAGAAUUUCUGAUUUCCCUUUUUGUCUUCUAAUUCUAUGCAGAUCAGCUAGUCUUCCAAUCACUCUCUCUCCUCUCUAGUUUUUUCUUGCUUGGUUUUAUUGGGUCUGUUUAAUUGCAUCCAUUUUUCAAUUGUAGCAUAAAUUGUUUGUUGAAAAUGAAUUAUCUGCCAAAUAUUGUUAUAUCUAUAUACAUACAUAUAUAUAUAUAUAUAUAUAUAUAUAUAUAUAUAAUUCAAUGACUAGGUUUUAACAGUUACUUGGUACAGAUAUCUGGGUAUGCUGGAAUUCAGUACACCUCUCCAUCAUUUGCAUAUGCAAUGUUAAACCUCAUCCCAAGUUUUACCGGAGAAAAAUCCUCUCCAUUCACAUCUCACUCCAAAGUGUCUAGUGGUGGGCCAUUUGGCUGAUGUGGCAAAGGUGGUAAAAUGGUGUAAUCGAGAAACAAGGCAACCAAGAUAUAAAGAUAAAGAUUUUGGAGAAGAAGAAGCUGAAUAAGGAUGUUUUCUGGAAAGCAAAAGAUCUCCCUGUUCAAAGAAGCUUCGAGGAGGGGAAUCUGACGUUUUCUGGAAGGCAAAUGAUCUUCAUGUUCAAAGAAGCUCCAAGAAGGAGAGAUUUCCCCCAAAAAAAAUUUUAGUCUGGCGAAAAGCUGAAACUCCGAUCAUCUAGUCCGGCGAGAAGCUGAAGCUCCGAUCAUCAGUCUGGCGUAAUUUAUACAUCUUCUUUAUGCACGUAUUAUUGCAUCUUUCCAAAAUCUAUUUGAGUUUCAAUUUUCAAUUUCUCCCCAAAAGGAAAGUUGACCUUUCCUCAAAACUUUACUAUAUAUAUACCAUGCCUAAAAUAUCAAAUAGGAAAUUCCUCUCUAAAAUUUGAGAUUCUGUAAAGAAACUCUAGAUUCGAAACUCUCCCCAAACUCUGCUAUUUAUGUUUAUGUGUAAAAAACUCUCUUGGUGAAGGUCGAAGAGGCAUAGCAAACAAAAGGAGAUCUAGUCGGAAAAAUCACCAUAUAUUCCGGCAAUAAGCUAAAAUUUCUGAAGAGGAGAGAUUCCCCCAAAAUAUUUCUGAUAGUCCAGCGAGAGCUAAAGCUCCAAUCAUUAUAGUAUUAGGUUGUUAUUUUGAAUUUUUUGUAACUUUAUUCAUAAUGAUAUAUCAAAGUUUAUCUUAUAUUA
Long non-coding RNA from Cornus florida, 1748 nucleotides. RefSeq lists it as uncharacterized. The transcript is spliced from 2 exons. The record is from RefSeq and is a predicted model, not a curated record. NCBI's taxonomy places the organism in Eukaryota, Viridiplantae, Streptophyta, Magnoliopsida, Cornales, Cornaceae.